AUGUUGUUUGUGUUUGAAUUAAUUAGCACCCCAUACCAUCGUGUUUCUUCAGCCUACAAGGUGAUUAGCACUCAGCAAACUAUUGGAAAGAUGUUGGUACCUUGUUUUUUUUCAAACUCGACAUGCACAUGCAAGAAUAGGUAUGGCUACAUGCUUUCUAUAUCUAUCAGGUUCAUAAAGCAUUUUGGAGAGGUGCAUCUUGUUGGAGAGGUCUGGUAUGCAUAUUUAAUAUUGAAGAAAACAAAAGUUUUUGAUAUAAUAAAGAUUGAUGAAAAUUUGGACUUGACUCUACCAGGGACAAUUUUCAUGCUAAAUUAUACGAAGUUUGUAUCUUGGGGACAUCUUCAUGCCGACUUACGUUUAAUAUUGGGAUAUGUCCCCUCAUGUGCCAGUUUUGAGAUUUUGUUAGAAGUACAUGAUCUAUUCUUAGUUCCUGCAUGUUUUUUCACCUUUCUGUAG
RNAcentral lists this ribosomal RNA (459 nucleotides) under Triticum aestivum (bread wheat). RNAcentral's name for it is "partial small subunit ribosomal RNA". The record is from RNAcentral. Lineage: Eukaryota; Viridiplantae; Streptophyta; Magnoliopsida; Poales; Poaceae.